This is a long non-coding RNA of Cynara cardunculus var. scolymus (artichoke), 569 nucleotides long. RefSeq lists it as uncharacterized. The record is from RefSeq and is a predicted model, not a curated record. The transcript is spliced from 4 exons. Lineage: Eukaryota; Viridiplantae; Streptophyta; Magnoliopsida; Asterales; Asteraceae.
AAACCAGUUUGGGGUAAGGUCAAAAUGGCUUUCUUCCUUUUUCCAGCUUCCUCCUCUAUGUCUUCUUCCUUUUUCAUGAUUCCUCCUCUGCGCCUUCUUCCAAAUUAGUAAGGUCAGCCAUUUGCUUUCUUCCAUUGCUGCAACCUUUGCACAAAUGGGCGGCUCCAAGACAACCUCAUCUAACCAGAAGUUUGAGGUUUUCAUUUCUCCACAUCUUCUUCAAAACCCUAGCAAUUUCUAUGAGUAUUGACUUGGUUUACAUGUUCUUCAAAGCUCAGUUGGUGAAUUAUUUGCUCUAGUGUGAAAGAAGCAGCCUUGGGCCGAUCCAAAGAUUGUCAAGUUGGUGGUCUGUUUGCAUAUUUAGUGGGACUUGAGAUACAGAACCGUACUUGUGGAGGCCAAGCGGCAAGCAGAAAAGAAGAGAGAUGAAGAAGCAAAAGUUGCAGCAUUAGAAAGUGCAAAAGAAGCAGGUGUGGCAGAAAGUCAGUGACAAGUUGAUGAAGCUAUGACUGCUUCACACGGAGCUGUUUCCAAGGGAUCUAAUUCUGGUGGACCAAAAAAAACACCCG